Molecule: ribosomal RNA, 621 nt
Filed under: Asyndetus sp. SNK-2009
Lineage: Eukaryota; Metazoa; Arthropoda; Insecta; Diptera; Dolichopodidae
Description: SSU rRNA
Rfam family: Eukaryotic small subunit ribosomal RNA
Source: RNAcentral
CGUAUAUUAAAGUUGUUGCGGUUAAAACGUUCGUAGUUGAACUUGUGCUUCAUACGGGUAGUACACCAAAAUUUGGUUUAGUACAUUACCUAUUGUAUGUAAGCGUAUUACCGGUGGAGUUCUUAUAUAUUAUAUAUAUUUAUAUAUAUAAUAUAUUGCUCCUACUUAAACCUGACUCAAUGCUCUUUACCGAGUGUUGUUUUGGGCCGGUACAAUUACUUUGAACAAAUUAGAGUGCUUAAAGCAGGCUCUUAAUGCCUGAAUAUUCUGUGCAUGGAAUAAUGGAAUAAGACCUCUGUUCUAAUUUCAUUGGUUUUUAGAUCAAGAGGUAAUGAUUAAUAGAAGCAGUUGGGGGCAUUAGUAUUACGACGCGAGAGGUGAAAUUCUUGGACCGUCGUAAGACUAACUUAAGCGAAAGCAUUUGCCAAAGAUGUUUUCAUUAAUCAAGAACGAAAGUUAGAGGUUCGAAGGCGAUCAGAUACCGCCCUAGUUCUAACCAUAAACGAUGCCAGCCAGCAAUUGGGUGUAGCUACUUUAAUGGCUCUCUCAGUCGCUUCCCGGGAAACCAAAGCUUUUGGGCUCCGGGGGAAGUAUGGUUGCAAAGCUGAAACUUAAAGGAAU